GCGCCCGUAGCUCAAUGGAUAGAGUACUGCCCUCCGAAGGCAGGGGUUGCUGGUUCGAUCCCAGCCGGGCGCGCCA
Molecule: transfer RNA, 76 nt
Filed under: Helicobacter pylori
Lineage: Bacteria; Pseudomonadati; Campylobacterota; Epsilonproteobacteria; Campylobacterales; Helicobacteraceae
Also listed under: 983 other names
Description: tRNA-Arg
Rfam family: tRNA
About the family: Transfer RNA (tRNA) molecules are approximately 80 nucleotides in length. Their secondary structure includes four short double-helical elements and three loops (D, anti-codon, and T loops). Further hydrogen bonds mediate the characteristic L-shaped molecular structure. tRNAs have two regions of fundamental functional importance: the anti-codon, which is responsible for specific mRNA codon recognition, and the 3' end, to which the tRNAs corresponding amino acid is attached (by aminoacyl-tRNA synthetases). tRNAs cope with the degeneracy of the genetic code in two manners: having more than one tRNA (with a specific anti-codon) for a particular amino acid; and 'wobble' base-pairing, i.e. permitting non-standard base-pairing at the 3rd anti-codon position.
Source: RNAcentral